This 72-nucleotide transfer RNA is filed under the name Phrynosoma platyrhinos (Desert horned lizard). RNAcentral describes it as "tRNA-OTHER". The stretch from base 9 to 72 matches the Rfam family "tRNA". From Rfam's summary of the family: Transfer RNA (tRNA) molecules are approximately 80 nucleotides in length. Their secondary structure includes four short double-helical elements and three loops (D, anti-codon, and T loops). The record is from RNAcentral. Lineage: Eukaryota; Metazoa; Chordata; Lepidosauria; Squamata; Phrynosomatidae.
GAGAGUGUGGUGUAGUAGGUUGAGCACUGGACUACAACUCUGGAGACCAGGGUUCAAAUCCCUGUUGAGCCA